GAUGAACGCUGGCGGCGUGCUUAACACAUGCAAGUCGAACGAAGCACCUCGAUUUGAUUCUUCGGAUGAAGUUCUUAGUGACUGAGUGGCGGACGGGUGAGUAACGCGUGGGUAACCUGUCUCUUCCAGGGGGAUAACAGUAAGACAUGACUGCUAAUACCGCAUAAGAUCACAGCACCGAAUGUUGCAGGGGUAAAAACUCAGGCGGUAUGAGAUGGACCCGCGUCUGAUUAGGUAGUUGGUGGGGUAUCGGCCUACCAAGCCGACGAUCAGUAGCCGAGCUGAGAACGUGACCGGCCAGAUUUGGACUGAGACACAGCCCAAACUCCGACGGGGGGCAGCAGUAUAGAAUAUUGCACAAUGAGGGAAGCCCUAAUACAGCGACGCCGCGUGAGCGAUGAAUUAUUUCGUAAUGUAAAUCUCUAUCAGCAGGAGAGAAAAUGACGGUACCUGGCUAAGAAGCACCGGCUAAAUACGUG
This 479-nucleotide ribosomal RNA is filed under the name uncultured bacterium. RNAcentral's name for it is "partial 16S ribosomal RNA". It matches the Rfam family "Bacterial small subunit ribosomal RNA", at positions 28 to 507 of the family's 1533-position model. The record is from RNAcentral.